Molecule: ribosomal RNA, 252 nt
Filed under: uncultured bacterium
Lineage: Bacteria
Description: partial 16S ribosomal RNA
Rfam family: Bacterial small subunit ribosomal RNA
Source: RNAcentral
ACGAGCGAGUGAUCGUAAGCAAAUCCCAAAAAUAACGUCUCAGUUCGGAUUGUAGUCUGCAACUCGACUACAUGAAGCUGGAAUCGCUAGUAAUCGCGAAUCAGCAUGUCGCGGUGAAUACGUUCCCGGGUCUUGUACACACCGCCCGUCACACCAUGGGAGCCGGGAAUGCCCGAAGUCAGCGGCCUAACCGCAAGGAGGGAGCUGCCGAAGGCAGGCCUGGUGACUGGGGUGAAGUCGUAACAAGGUAAC